UUUAAAGCUAGCAUAAACCCUGUAGCUUCUGUAAAACUGUUGAACAUGAAUUGUUGAGUUUUUCAAAGUAUAGACAGGAAUGGCUGAUUCUGAACCAAUCCUGAGGACAAUAUUGAAUUUUAGGGGAAUUCUACAUGAGAGUUCAGGCGAUAAAAAAGUAGGGCAGUGUUUUGAUUUUUAGCAAAUACAGGAUAUAUUUAGGGAAUGUAGUAUAGAAAAGCUAAACUGAUCCACACUCCAGUCCAGAAGGUGUCGGAAAUACUCCAACAAGCUGUUUUCCAACCGUCAUCAAAAAGAGGAAGAAGAAAGCUUCUGUAGCUGUUCGCUGGGGACCCCACUGUGAUGUCACUCACCUGUGUGCCCCCAGGUUAAUGCAGCUGAUUCCCAGGUUGUAGCGGGACCUGAUAAAUCCAGGCUGUAGCUCCAGGGCUCUUGUGUAUGCCUCUACGGCUUCCUCACUCCGAUCCCCGUUUGCCAGUGUGGCCCCCAGGCGAUUCCACAACAAAUAGUCCUAGAUGGAGGGAGGGAGCGAUGUUUUAGUGCUGAUCAAUGUCAACUGUUUUGUCAGCCUGUAUUGUUUUGAUUGCACUCAAAUGUCUGUCUGCAUUCAAUUAAUGAACAGGAUUAAAGUUUCUUGAAAAACUCA
Notolabrus celidotus (New Zealand spotty) is the source of this 646-nucleotide long non-coding RNA. RefSeq lists it as uncharacterized. The transcript is spliced from 2 exons. Lineage: Eukaryota; Metazoa; Chordata; Actinopteri; Labriformes; Labridae. The record is from RefSeq and is a predicted model, not a curated record.